This 494-nucleotide ribosomal RNA is filed under the name uncultured bacterium. Its description in RNAcentral is "bacterial SSU rRNA". It matches the Rfam family "Bacterial small subunit ribosomal RNA", at positions 29 to 511 of the family's 1533-position model. The record is from RNAcentral.
AUUGAACGCUGGCGGCGUGCCUAACACAUGCAAGUCGAGCGGUAACAGGUGUAGCAAUACAUGCUGACGAGCGGCGGACGGGUGAGUAACGCUUGGGAAUCUGCCUAUUAGUGGGGGACAACCCGGGGAAACUCGGGCUAAUACCGCAUACGCACUACGGUGGAAAGCCGGGGACCGCAAGGCCUGGCGCUAACAGAUGAGCCCAAGUCGGAUUAGCUAGUUGGUAGGGUAACGGCCUACCAAGGCGACGAUCCGUAACUGGUCUGAGAGGACGACCAGUCACACCGGAACUGAGACACGGUCCGGACUCCUACGGGAGGCAGCAGUGGGGAAUAUUGGACAAUGGGCGAAAGCCUGAUCCAGCGACGCCGCGUGGGUGAAGAAGGCCUGCGGGUUGUAAAAGCCCUUUCAAGUAGGGGAAAGAAAAGCCUCGAGCUAACACCUCGGGGUCUUGGCGUAACCCAUAGAAGAAGCACCGGCUAACUCUGUGCCAG